GACCAAACCUUCCUUAUCUUUGUAGCCCAAACACAGUUGCUGGUGGGGUGAAAAAUCAGCUGCUAGACAAGUGGACACGUAGCACAUUGCACCACGGUGGGAGCAUAUUAUAGUAGUUUAAUGAAUUACAUUGUCCUCUUUCUCUGCCCUCAUAAAUGUGUGCAUAAAUAUGCCAAUGUGUGCAGCAGUUUAUUUAUUUUUAUAUCGGACUCCCUUCUACAUUAUAUUUCACAACAGAAGAAAGAAUCAAGAUUAAAAUGACGCAUCUGACUAGAAACUGAAAGCCGUUGGUGGGAAGACAAGAAAGAAAGCUCAUUAAUAAUUCUGGAGCUCCCGGAAGGAAGGAGCUCUCUCCUUUGGAUAACGCAGGGAAACCGUUCUAAAGUUAGUCCUCGGUAAAGAGCAUAAAACCAAACCGUAAAUGCUUGUGAAUGUACUUUGAAGC
RNAcentral lists this long non-coding RNA (445 nucleotides) under Mus pahari (shrew mouse). Its description in RNAcentral is "predicted gene 13860 (MGP_PahariEiJ_G0004997.1)". The record is from RNAcentral. Lineage: Eukaryota; Metazoa; Chordata; Mammalia; Rodentia; Muridae.